CAGCCAUGCCGCGUGUAUGAAGAAGGCCUUCGGGUUGUAAAGUACUUUCAGCGAGGAGGAAGGCGGUGAGGUUAAUAACCUCAUCGAUUGACGUUACUCGCAGAA
Molecule: ribosomal RNA, 105 nt
Filed under: uncultured Gammaproteobacteria bacterium
Lineage: Bacteria; Pseudomonadati; Pseudomonadota; Gammaproteobacteria
Description: partial 16S ribosomal RNA
Source: RNAcentral